Molecule: long non-coding RNA, 306 nt
Organism: Sinocyclocheilus grahami
Lineage: Eukaryota; Metazoa; Chordata; Actinopteri; Cypriniformes; Cyprinidae
Exons: 2
Source: RefSeq, a predicted model, not a curated record
GACAGACCAGAAGAGUGAGGCGACACAGACCAGAAGAGUGAGGCGAGACAGACCAGAAGAGGGAGGCGAGACAGACCAGAAGAGGGAGGCGAGACAGACCAGAAGAGGGAGGCGAGACAGACCAGAAGAGGGAGGCGAGACAGACCAGAAGAGGGAGGCGAGACAGACCAGAAGAGGGAGGCGAGACAGACCAGAAGAGGGAGGCGAGACAGACCAGAAGAGGGAGGCGAGACAGACCAGAAGAGGGAGGCGAGACAGACCAGAAGAGGGAGGCGAGACAGACCAGAAGAGGGAGGCGAGACAGAC